Molecule: ribosomal RNA, 429 nt
Filed under: Verrucomicrobiota bacterium
Lineage: Bacteria; Pseudomonadati; Verrucomicrobiota
Description: Verrucomicrobia bacterium partial 16S ribosomal RNA
Rfam family: Bacterial small subunit ribosomal RNA
Source: RNAcentral
UAGGGAAUCUUCCGCAAUGGACGCAAGUCUGACGGAGCAACGCCGCGUGAGUGAAGAAGGUUUUCGGAUCGUAAAACUCUGUUGUAAGAGAAGAACAAAUUGUAGAGUAACUGCUACAGUCUUGACGGUACCUAACCAGAAAGCCACGGCUAACUACGUGCCAGCAGCCGCGGUAAUACGUAGGUGGCAAGCGUUGUCCGGAAUUAUUGGGCGUAAAGCGCGCGCAGGUGGUUUAGAAAGUCUGAUGUGAAAGCCCACGGCUCAACCGUGGAGGGUCAUUGGAAACUAAUAAACUUGAGUGCAGGAGAGAAAAGUGGAAUUCCUAGUGUAGCGGUGAAAUGCGUAGAGAUUAGGAGGAACACCGGUGGCGAAAGCGGCUUUUUGGCCUGCAACUGACACUGAGGCGCGAAAGCGUGGGGAGCAAACAGG